CAGUAGCCGCGGUAACACGUAGGGUGCGAGCGUUAAUCGGAAUUACUGGGCGUAAAGCGUGCGCAGGCGGUUCGUUAAGACAGAUGUGAAAUCCCCGGGCUUAACCUGGGAACUGCAUUUGUGACUGGCGAGCUAGAGUAUGGCAGAGGGGGGUAGAAUUCCAUGUGUAGCAGUGAAAUGCGUAGAGAUGUGGAGGAAUACCGAUGGCGAAGGCAGCCCCCUGGGCCAAUACUGACGCUCAUGCACGAAAGCGUGGGGAGCAAACAGGAUUAGAUACCCCAGUAGUCCCUGUCUCUUAUAA
Molecule: ribosomal RNA, 301 nt
Filed under: uncultured bacterium
Lineage: Bacteria
Description: partial 16S ribosomal RNA
Rfam family: Bacterial small subunit ribosomal RNA
Source: RNAcentral